Molecule: ribosomal RNA, 397 nt
Filed under: uncultured bacterium
Lineage: Bacteria
Description: partial 16S ribosomal RNA
Rfam family: Bacterial small subunit ribosomal RNA
Source: RNAcentral
AUACGUAGGGGGCGAGCGUUGUCCGGAAUGAUUGGGCGUAAAGGGCGCGUAGGCGGCCCGGUAAGUCUGGAGUGAAAGUCCUGUUUUUAAGAUGGGAAUUGCUUUGGAUACUGUCGGGCUUGAGUGCAGGAGAGGUAAGUGGAAUUCCCAGUGUAGCGGUGAAAUGCGUAGAGAUUGGGAGGAACACCAGUGGCGAAGGCGACUUACUGGACUGUAACUGACGCUGAGGCGCGAAAGUGUGGGGAGCAAACAGGAUUAGAUACCCUGGUAGUCCACACUGUAAACGAUGAAUGCUAGGUGUAAGAGGUAUCGACCCCUUUUGUGCCGGAGUCAACACAAUAAGCAUUCCGCCGGGGGAGUACGGCCGCAAGGUUGAAACUCAAAUGAAUUGACGGGG